Molecule: ribosomal RNA, 840 nt
Filed under: uncultured bacterium
Lineage: Bacteria
Description: bacterial SSU rRNA
Rfam family: Bacterial small subunit ribosomal RNA
Source: RNAcentral
AGAAAUUCCGAUUCGUCGGAAGAGUAGAGUGGCGGACGGGUGAGUAACGCGUGGGUAAUCUGCCCUUGAGUUCGGGAUAACUUCGCGAAAGUGGAGCUAAUACCGAGUAAAACUGACCUUGUUCCGGCAAGAUCAGUAAAAGAUGGCCUCUACAUGUAAGCUGUCGCUUAAGGAUGAGCCCGUGUACCAUUAGCUUGUUGGUAGGGUAAUGGCCUACCAAGGCAACGAUGGUUAGCUGGUCUGAGAGGAUGAUCAGCCACACUGGAACUGAGAUACGGUCCAGACUCCUAUGGGAGGCAGCAGUGGGGGAUCUUGCGCAAUGGGGGAAACCCUGACGCAGCGACGCCGUGUGAGUGAUGAAGGCUUUCGGGUCGUAAAGCUCUGUCAGGUGGGAAGAAAUAUCUCGAUACGAAUAAUAUCGGGGUUUGACGGUACCACCAAAGGAAGCACCGGCUAACUCCGUGCCAGCAGUCGCGGUAAUACGGAGGGUGCAAGCGUUGUUCGGAAUUAUUGGGCGUAAAGAGCGUGUAGGUGGUUGAACAAGUCAGAUGUGAAAUCCCUCGGCUCAACCGAGGAAGUGCAUUUGAAACUGUUCAGCUUGAGUACGGGAGAGGAGAGCGGAAUUCCCGGUGUAGAGGUGAAAUUCGUAGAUAUCGGGAGGAACACCGGUGGCGAAGGCGGUUCUCUGGCCCGAUACUGACGCUGAGACGCGAAAGCGUGGGGAGCAAACAGGAUUAGAUACCCUGGUAGUCCACGCCGUAAACGAUGGGCACUAGUGUAGAGGUAUUGAAUCCUUCUGUGCCGAAGCUACGCAUUAAGUGCCCCGCCUGGGGAGUACGG